UACGAAGGGGGCUAGCGUUGUUCGGAUUUACUGGGCGUAAAGCGCACGUAGGCGGAUUGGUCAGUUAGAGGUGAAAUCCCGAAGCUCAACUUCGGAACUGCCUUUAAUACUGCCAGUCUAGAGUCCGGAAGAGGUGAGUGGAACUCCUAGUGUAGAGGUGGAAUUCGUAGAUAUUAGGAAGAACACCAGUGGCGAAGGCG
Molecule: ribosomal RNA, 200 nt
Filed under: uncultured bacterium
Lineage: Bacteria
Description: partial 16S ribosomal RNA
Rfam family: Bacterial small subunit ribosomal RNA
Source: RNAcentral